RNAcentral lists this ribosomal RNA (465 nucleotides) under uncultured Streptococcus sp. RNAcentral describes it as "bacterial SSU rRNA". It matches the Rfam family "Bacterial small subunit ribosomal RNA", at positions 338 to 795 of the family's 1533-position model. Lineage: Bacteria; Bacillati; Bacillota; Bacilli; Lactobacillales; Streptococcaceae. The record is from RNAcentral.
CCUACGGGAGGCAGCAGUAGGGAAUCUUCGGCAAUGGACGGAAGUCUGACCGAGCAACGCCGCGUGAGUGAAGAAGGUUUUCGGAUCGUAAAGCUCUGUUGUAAGAGAAGAACGAGUGUGAGAGUGGAAAGUUCACACUGUGACGGUAUCUUACCAGAAAGGGACGGCUAACUACGUGCCAGCAGCCGCGGUAAUACGUAGGUCCCGAGCGUUGUCCGGAUUUAUUGGGCGUAAAGCGAGCGCAGGCGGUUAGAUAAGUCUGAAGUUAAAGGCUGGGGCUUAACCAUAGUACGCUUUGGAAACUGUUUAACUUGAGUGCAAGAGGGGAGGGUGGAAUUCCAUGUGUAGCGGUGAAAUGCGUAGAUAUAUGGAGGAACACCGGUGGCGAAAGCGGCUCUCUGGCUUGUAACUGACGCUGAGGCUCGAAAGCGUGGGGAGCAAACAGGAUUAGAUACCCCAGUAGUC